RNAcentral lists this ribosomal RNA (681 nucleotides) under uncultured fungus. Its description in RNAcentral is "eukaryotic LSU rRNA". The stretch from base 239 to 392 matches the Rfam family "5.8S ribosomal RNA". The record is from RNAcentral. Lineage: Eukaryota; Fungi.
GGUGAACCUGCGGAAGGAUCAUUAUCGUACCAAAUGUGUCAGGCAUGCUCGGGCUGUUGCUGACUCAAAAAGUCGUGCACGCUGGAGGGUGUCCUCUCACAUAAUAAUCCAUCUCACCCUUUGUGCAUCACCGCGUGGGCACCCUUUGGGAUCGGACCGAUCUCGGAAGGGGGCCCGCGUUUUCACACAAACCCCCCCAUCUAAAAGUGUAGAAUGUCCUCAUUUAUGCAAUAAAUACAACUUUCAACAACGGAUCUCUUGGCUCUCGCAUCGAUGAAGAACGCAGCGAAAUGCGAUACGUAAUGUGAAUUGCAGAAUUCAGUGAAUCAUCGAAUCUUUGAACGCACCUUGCGCCCCUUGGUAUUCCGAGGGGCACACCCGUUUGAGUGUCGUGAAAAUCUCAACCUCCUUGGUUUCUUCUGGAGACCGAUGGGGGCUUGGACAUUGGAGGCCUUUGCUGGUGUCUCUCUUGAAGGGCCCAGCUCCUCUUAAAUGAAUUAGCGGGGUCCUCUUUGCCGAUCCUUGACAUGUGAUAAGAUGUUUCCGUGUCUUGGUCUCUGGCUCUGUUGCUUUUGGGACCCGCUUCUAAUCGUCUCAACCUUGCAUCGAGACAAACGUCUGAGCGUGGCUCCCUUCCCUGGGAAACUCUCUCGACCUCACGAACCCUUGACCUCAAACGGG